GUGCAUAGCAGCUCUGUGAACAUAACGCCAAAAUGGCGACCAGUCGUCAGUGAAGAACAGGCUCACGCCCUGAAGUAUUACACAUGCAGGGACCCUGAGGAUAAAGAAAAGAAUCACAAACCCAGAAAAGUGAAACAAGAAAAGGACAAUGAAAGGCUGUACUCGAAUUCGCAAACAAACUCCAAUAUGUGUUCGCCCAGUAUUUUUUCGAGCAGCUUUUGAUUUAUUUAUAAAAUGUGAAAGUUUUGUGUUAUUAAAUAUA
This is a long non-coding RNA of Cydia amplana, 262 nucleotides long. RefSeq lists it as uncharacterized. Lineage: Eukaryota; Metazoa; Arthropoda; Insecta; Lepidoptera; Tortricidae. The record is from RefSeq and is a predicted model, not a curated record. The transcript has 3 exons.